AACCGCUUCAGGCAACAGUGUUCCUUAGCUCUCACAGCAAGCCCUUACUCCUAUUUCCAGGGAAACCUGGGCACUCAGCGUCCUGGUUGCCACAGCAACACUCAUGGGCUUGUUUGGCGUGUGGUCUCCACAAUCAAGGUGGGGCAUCUGGGUGCUCAGGAGCAAGUGAAUUCAACGGGCCAAACCAGCACAGUGGCUCCAGGUACUGCACACAGGAAGGUACUGGGUGGUUGAGGCUCAAAGAAGAGACGUGCUGAGGAGCCCAGGUACAAACUAUUUGAGGUCCUGUGCUUCUGCCCAAGAUGAGCUCCACUUCCAGCAAUCCUGAUGAUGGAGACACCACGGAGCAGUCUCAGCUGGGGUUGGACACAGUGAUCAAGAAGUUGGAGGACACCAUCCUGAGUCCCAUGGCCAGAAGGGAAGACCGGGCGCUAACUGUGCGAGGAGAAGGUCAACGGGCCUCACCCACUCCUGUGCCAGCCCGUAUCCGAGAGAUCGUGUCGAGCAGCCUGGGUGAGGAGCCACUCUCAGGGCUGCGGGAGCCACCAGCUACUACGUCCCAUGCACGGGAGGAGAGUGAACUCCUGCAAGAGGAGCUGACACGAUUGGAGGACCUGUUGGCCCAGGCGGAUGCUGAGCGGGAAGAGCUGGCCAGCAGGUGUCACAUGGUCAGCCAGAGGCUGCAGGCCCGCCUGGAUACCACUGAGGCCCGGCUUCGGAAGUCAGAGCUAGAACACAGCAUGGAUUUGGAGGAGGCUCUUAGCCGGCUGGAGGCCUCACAGCAGAGGAGCAUGGGCCUUUCCCAAGUAAACACCCUCCUUCGGCAACAGCUGGAGCACAUGCAGAAAGCCAACGACACGUUGGCCAGGGAGCUGACCAGAGCAACACACAGCUUGGUCCACCUGCAGCGCAAGUUGGAGCUUCAAGAGAGCCAAAGGUUGAGCCUAAGGCAACCUCGAGACAUCCUUCCCCUGUGGAGACAGGCCAAGGCUCUGCAGACACACCUGGCUGAGCUUCGGGCAUCCACUGAGAGGGGUCUCACAGAUGUUCAGGCGGACAUGACCCGGACGGCCCAGCGCUUGCAUAUGGCCUGCCUGAACCUCGACUCCCACCUGCGGCUGACAGCCAGCAGCAUGACCAGUGACCUGGAACAGCGGCUGAGGGAGCAGGCUAGGGAGAUGCUCCAGCUGCAGGGCCAAUGGGCCGCUGAGAAGGUGGCACUUCAAGCCAGACUCUCAGAGCAGACACUGCUGGUAGAGAAGCUCUCUGUGCAGAAGGAGCAAGGAGAGAGAGCCAUCCUGACACUCAAGUCGGACAUCCAGAGACUGAAAUCCCGGCGCAGUGGUGGCCAGCUGGCGGUGGAUGAACUGAGGGAUGAGGUUGAAUCCCUGCACCAUGUCCUGGCCAGCAUCAAGGAGGUGGCCCAGUCAGAUGCUAUGUGUCCAGAGUUGGCCUGGAGCAGCAGCAUUGAAGUCAGGGAAGCACAGGCCCGACUGCGCAGCCCACCUCGGUCUGUAUCACCACACCAGCGCAUGUCCCCAGCUCGGACCAGCUCUCCAACCAGCCUGCAUCCUGCGCUGCAGGCUGUGCAGGCAGCCAUUGAAAGGCGGCAGCAGCGGGAACAGGAGUUGCGUCUGAGGCUGGAGUCCUCCCAAGAAGAAGCAGCGGGGCUCCGGGAGCAGCUGUCUGGGUACCGGCAGGAACUGCGGACCUCACAGAGGCUUCUGCAGGACAGGGCACAAGAGCAUGAGGAUCUGCUGGGCCAGCUGGAGGCCCAGAGGCAGGAGGCACAGCUCUCCCAGGCGUCUGUCCAUCUCCUGGAAAGGGAGAAAGAAGCCCUGGAGACAACAAUGGAGGAGCUGAGGGCCAAGGCAGACAUUCGGGAGGCUGAGACCCAGAAGCUGGAGGUCACAAACGCAGAGCUGAGGAGAAGCCUUCUGCUGCGGGCGGAGCAGAAAGCCGAGCUGGCCCAGCAGAGUGAGCGCAGCCUGCGUGAGCUGGAGGCCAGCCAGGGCCGUGUGGAACAGCUGGAAGAAAAGGUUUCUGGGCUCAGGAAGGAGCUGGCCACAUCCCGGGAGGCACUAAGCUCAAUGCAGCUGCAGAGGGACAUCUUGGAGACGGAGAAGGAGAGCCUGCAUGGUGCCCUGGCCCAGGCUGAAUCUGGCAAUGCUGACUUGGAACUGCUGGUGACACGGCUGAAGGCAGAGGGAAUGGAGCAGCAGGACUCACUGGCCAAGAUGGCUGCCCUUCUGGAAGGGCUUUCCCAGGACAAAGGCACCCUAAACCAUCUGGCACUUCAGCUGGAGCAGGAACGGGACCAGCUUCGGGAGCAGCAGAAGAUGCUGCAGCAGGAGCAGGCGGGCAUGAGAGAGCAGCUGACACAGACGGGACAGCAGCUAGGGCUCAUUCGGGCUGAGCGGAGAAGUCUGAAGGAGACAUGUGGGCACCUGGAGCAGAAGCAGGACCAUCUAGAGAAGCAGGUGGUCCUGCUGGGACAGGAGAAUGCCCAGCUCCGGGAGCAGGUGGGCCAGGUCACAAACAAGAAACAGGCCCUAGAGAAGCAGCUGGCACAGAGCCUGCAGGACCAGGAGGCCCAGAUGGACAUUCUGCAAGAAGCCCUCCAUGAGAAGAACACACUGUCUGAGGAGCGGGCCCAACUACUGGCUAAGCAGGAAGCCUUGGAGAGACAUAGCGAGCUUGUGACUAAGGAGGCAGCUGAUCUGAGGGCUGAGAGGAACUCUCUGGAGAACAGCCUCUUUGAGGCCCAGCGACUGACAACGCAGUUGCAGACCCAGCAGGAACAGCUAGAAGGAAAGGCCGAGGCUGCUCAGCUCGCUCGCCGGGCCUUGCAAGUGGAAAUAGAGCGGCUGAAAAGUGACUGGGAAGUCCGAGAGACAAAGCUGCAGUUGCACCUGGGACAGCUGCAGCAGCAGGCUGCGCAGCAAGAGCAAGAGGCACAGCUGGCCUUGGAGCGCCAGGAGCUGGCGCACACAGAGGACCUGGCCCGGCUGCACAGGGAGAAGGACACCCUCAGUUUAUCACUGGCAGAGGAGAAAGAGGCGGCUGCCCGGUGGAUGGAACAACAGAAAGAGCUGUUGACAAGAAGUGCAGCCGACAGGGAGGCGCUGCAGGGGGAGAUUCAGAACCUGAAGCAGGAGCGAGACGAGAGCCUCCUUCAGCUGGAGCACGAGAUGCAGCAGGCCCUGUCUCUGAAGGAUGCAGAGAAGAGCCUGCUGAGCAAGGAGCUCUCUGGAGCUCACCGAGAGCUGGAACGGGCCCGGCAGGAGGCCCAGAACCAGCAAGUCCAAGCUGAGGUGAGCCCCACUGACAGAUUCUAGCCAAGGACCAGACAACUGCCUGGUUGUGGAUAGCCAAGCAAGUCUUGGCAGGGCCCCCGGAAUAAUCCCUUUCUGUCUGGCCCUGGAAGUAGAGUCCCCUCUUUGUGUCUUCAUGAGUGUUGUGUCCCCCUGGUGCUGGAAAAAGCUACGAUCUCAAUGGCAGAAAUAGCCAAGUGAUUAUGGCUGUGUGUGACCCAGUCCCUGCCAGCGGUGGCUACAGGCACUGGAUCUGGCACUCCCAGGAAUCAGAGCUGAUCAAGACUGACAAGCUGGGCCAUACACUGGGUAGCAACAGCUAGGGGAGGAUUAGACCCAGGCCUAUGUCCCUUCCUUCCGAUCCACACAGCACGAGCUUUGCCUGGCUGUGCUCAAGCUGACUCUAGUGAAGUCCAGUUGUGGGCAGACAUAGAUCUACUCCUGCCCACUGGUGGAGAUGGCCUGUAAGUGAGGAGCUGUGGCCAGCCUUUGACUCUUAGGCAGCUGCUCGGUUGCCCACGUGGACAGUGAGAGCAGACCACCCAGCUGGAAUGGGAGGCAGGUGUGUGGAGGGGACGAGGCCUUGGGAAGGGUGUCCUGGUGAUGCUGACGGAAGAAGGCAGGGGCUGAUCCCUGGUGCUGUGUGGUAGGAAAUGGUGUCGCAGUGAGGUGUGAUACCUCUCCCCCCCUCCAAAUAUACACACUUGUUGCAGGAUUUUCUCUGUCCAAUCACAUUAGGGCAGUGGCAGACCUAUGAUUGGACAGGAAAAGGGAGGCGGAGCUAGGAGUUUGGGGGACAGGGGGAGAUAGCGAGGUAGGAGGAGGGGAGAAGGAGAGAAGUCAACAUGGAGACAGAUGAACAGGAAGACGAUCCUGAUCCGGCACGGUUUUAGACAGCCACAAGUAGCUAAGAUGUUCACAAGGCUACCGUUACCACCAUGACCAAAGAGCUGAGAACCCUCCAGGUCCAGUUUGAAGAGGCCAUCUCUACCCACCAGAGAGAAGCUGACACUCUGAGGGAGAAGCUCCGUGAGAUAGCGGCCGAGCGAAGCAGCGUGAGGAGAGAGGCUGAGGAGCUGCAGGCACAGCUGAACGUGGCUCACGAAAGGCUGGCUGAACUGCGUCAGGAACUUCAGGCCAGUGAAGAGAGUCGUGAGGGGCUACAGAGGGAGGCCUUGGGGGCUCGCCGGGCACUGGAAGAUGAGGUUCAAGAGAAGGAUGUACUGCAACAUUCCAACACUGAGCUGCGGGCCUCCAUCCACAGGGCUGAGCAAGAGAAGGCCAGUUUGAAGAGGUCCAAGGAGGAGCAGGAGCAGAAGCUGCUGUUGCUUCAGGAGGCCCAAGUGGCAGCUCAGAAGGAAGCCUAUGAACUGAGGACCAGGCUGCAGGAGUUGGAACGGGCCCAGAGAGAUACCCGUCGGAAGCUCCAGGAGCGCCACAGACAGGUAAGGACACUGGAAGCUGAGAACCAGAGGAAGAGACAGGAGGUGAGUGACCUGCAAGCCCAGGUCUCAAGGGAUGCACAGCAUCGGCAGAAGAAUCUGCAGGAGUCACUAGAGCUGCAGAGGCAGGUAGCUGAGGCCCAGGCUGCCCAUGAUGGCGUCCAGAAGGAGGUAGGAAAGAUUUUUGUCCCUCUUAGGGGGAACACUGAGCUCUGGUCCAGCCUGGGACCAAGACAAGGUCCAUGGGAACACCUAUGGGGGAGGUAGGAGGCAGUGUGUGCAGAUGAUGGAAAGAGACCGGGAUGCCCAUUCUCUCUGUCUCCGUCCAGCAUCUCUGUGAUAGCCUAACCCUGUGCAAGAGGCAAGCGAAAGGGAUCUGAGGGCAAGGGGGUUGGUUACAGCCAUGACCUCUUAAUUGCCCCAGAUUUGUUUUAGAAAAGAGCCAGAUAGGACAGAGUUCUGGGCGGGAGCCAGGUAGAGAGGCUACGGAACACUGAAGUAAUGCCUAGGCCCAUGCCCGUCCCCAUCACACAUGCCCGACCCCUGCACCAAUGUCCCCAUGCCCUUGACUCAUGUAGCCCCUAUGCCAGAUCCUGAGCCACUAUACUCGGCCACAACCAGGACUGUAGUUCAGUGUAUUAAAGGUACUGCAUGCCACCAAGGAACAGAGGGGCCUUUCUGAGCUCAGCAGCCCCCCAGCUUUCAGACCCAAACUGCAUGCCUGGCUGUCUUGAACACCAGUCAUGCCUAGAAUGUGGGGGCUUAGCUCCCGAGCCCAUGUGACCCGGAAUGACCUCAGCCACACACCUCCUUCUGUGAAUAAGGUCAUUGUUAUGCUGCAGCCACCCAGAAAGGGGGAUGAGGCCAGGCCCCCUGCUCUGGCUCAGUGGGAGAGAGCAGGCUGCCUUUCCCUCUUUUCCAAAGCCAGUACAUUCCCUGUUCAUGCGUGCACAAGUAUGUAGGGAGCAGCCCAUAGCGAGAAAUAUAACAAAGCACACUUUGGCCAUGAGUAGGCUCUGCAGCCAGCAGAUGAAGAACAGUGGUUGAGCUGGGUCUCUAGCUGGAGAGGGCAGCCAGUCUUUGACCCUAACUGAGACUUUGCAGCCAACCAGCAGAGCCUUCUGCUGCUAAAGGACAUGCCACCAUGCUGAGGGAUGGUCCUCAUCUGACUCAGGUAUAUCCAACUGCUAAACACACUAGGAGGCAGGUCUAGGGUCCCUUCCAGCUAUAACCUGUCUUGGGAUGAUCCUCAGAAUCAUCAAAACAUAUACUGAACACGGUUUUCCCACUGGCUUGGCUAGACCUUUGGUCAGCCAGCCUAGAUAUCAGAAGCCUACAUCUGAGCCCCAACAUCCUUCCUCCAGGUUCUAGGGCUACGGCAGAAGUUGGCAGAAGUAGAGGCUUCAGGGGAGACCAGGGCAAAGCAGCUGGAGGGGCAUCUUUGUGAGAGCCAGAGGGCUGAGCAGACCCUGCAGGCUGAGCUGUGUAGAAUCACCAGGAAGCUACAGGAGGCCAGCAACCAGGCUGACAGCCUUCAGAGAAGCCUGGACAAUGCCUGUAGCCGAGUCCACGUCUUGGAACAGGAGCUGGCCAAGGCUGAGGGUGCUAGGUGUAAUGCAGAAGCUCAGCUGGGCCGGCUGUGGUCCACACUCUGCAGUGGCCUAGGCCAAAGUCGGAACCUCUUGGCCUCUCCAAAGAGGCCCCAUUCUCCCACAACAGGCAGCUCCCAGACUCGUCCUGGACGGCAAAGGACCAGUCCCCCUACUAGAUCCUACUCUCCUGCCCGAUGGCCCUCGCCUGUACCUGUGGAUCCUAAGUCGGAGGUCAUCGAUGUGGCCUUUGUAAGGGAUGCCCUGAGGGACCUGGUGCAAGGGCUUCUGGAGGCCCAGCAGGAACGGGACAAUUCUGGCAUUCAGGUGGCCAAUCUGAGCAGCCAGCUGAGCGAGGCAGAGAGGGAGCGCCUCCGCCUACAGAGCCGCGUAGAGCAGCUUCAGAGGGACCUAGCAGAUGCAGAGGAAGGCCAGCGCAGGGCAGAGAGUGCACUGCAGAGUGCCCAGGCAGCUCGGGCCCUGCAGAAGGAGGCGCUCCAGAGACUGGAGACAGAGCAUCUGGCAAGUGCACGCGCUGCAGGCCAGGAGAGGAGAAGGCUGCAGGAGCAAGUAGACACCCUGCGUCAGGCCCUGGAAGAGAGCAGCAGGCCCAGCCAGAGCCUUGCAGACAAGGGGAGGCUCCUGGAGCAGCCCCUGCAGCAGGUGCUUCCGCACAGCCGUAGGGAUCGGGCAGAGCGGCGCGCCCUGCGAGAGCAAACAACUUCACUGCGCACCGAGCGGGCCCGCCUACAGGGGGAGCUCGCGGCACUGCGCACGCGCCUCAUACAGACAGAGCAGGAGACCCUGAAGAAGGAGGAGGACAGGGCAAUGCUGGGGGCCAAGAAGGAGCUGCUGCUCCAGUCGUUGAGUCACCUACACCAGGAGGUGGAUGGGGCCUUACGGCAGAGCCAGCAGCUGCAGGUAGCUAGCCUGAAGAAACGGCUGGACAAGGAAGUGUGGCAGCGACAGCAACAGGCCCACAGUGACUAGACCUUUUGAGCCAAGCACUGACCUCUACUGCAGUACCUUCCCUUCAUCCCUGUGCUGGGUGGCAUGCACUGGGGGACAUGUUAAGGCUCUGUGCUAGUGGAGAAACUGGUGUUAUACACUAUAGAGGGGCCAUGAUCUACAAACAAAUGUUGUGAGAAGGUACGCAAAGAGGCAGCCACCAACCAAAGCACACUAUCCCUCCUCAACUCCUCCCAGACAGACUACAGAAGUCCUGCCGAUGAGGACCUCAGCUUCCAGCUGGGCUGGACCACAUUGCUCUUUGAUACUCCUUUCUGCUGCAGGGAGCGGGGAUGUGACCACCCCUCAGACCAUACUGGGCCUGGGGCUCCAUCUCUAAAUUGGACCUGCUACUUGGGCCAGGCACUGGUGGCCGGGCCCUGUCAAACCAGCUCCCUUGCCACGGGCUACAUUCCGUGCCCUCAGUUCUGUAAACACAGGGAAACACAUGGAAAACAUUUCCACCAGCAAGAGCCAAAAACACAAUGUCCUGCAAGGUCAGCCACCACACCCCACAUCCAGAGGCCACAGAAUCUUCCACAUCCAGGAACUGCAGUCCUGUCACGGUGGCAGGUGGCUGGAAAUGACUCAGAUGCAACCCCGUGACUCGCUGGCCACAGGGGUAUUGGAGAUCUGAAGCUGUUCCAGAAUCUCCCAUACUACACACCCCCCCCCCCAAAAAAAUGCUAGAAAAUGCCAGUGGGUAAUCCUGCUCUUGUUGCUAUGGAGACCAAGGCCAUCAUCUUACCAGACCCGUUCCUGCCUCACCUCUUGGCAUCUAUGUGCCUUCCUCUUAUUUAGCGCUGGUCAGACUGACCUGUCUUCCCUUCCAACAAGUCUCUUUGGCCUUGUAAACGGCACUUUCUAGUACCCCUAGACUACUGGGCAACCUGGUAAAUUCUUGCUUGCACCACAGGGUGCAGGUCAUCCCAUGGCUUGUGUUUCUGCCAGGACCUCCUGAAGCCUCUUCAAGGACUCUGGCAUGGGGCAGGAAAGGCAGAAAACUCCUGGAAUCCAUCCAAUCACAGGCAUGUAGCUAAGGCCAAGAUAUGUGACAGCCUGUCAGUUUACUUCAAGAUCACCAGGGACUUAAAAUCAGCCAUCCUGUCAGACCUCUGGUUGAACUUAAUCCGCAAUUGAGGUGGACAGACAGGCUUUAUUGCCGAUGACAGUGUGAAGAAGGGUCCUGAAGCCCAGGCUCUGAAAGGAAGAACACAGAGACCAUUGGUAAUGGCUUCCUUGGACAAAGGAGAAGUUGGCGGUGGCAUAGGUACCCUGAUAUAUGCCCACCUACAGUUUCUAGGUUCCAGCAAACACAGCCUGGUGGAGGAGAGAGGAUGGGCUGACCCAUGGAGGCCUGAGAAACUGGGACUUCGUAGUUAGCCCUCACCUUCCUCCUUCUCUGGUCUGCAGCUCCCCUGUGGAAGUGUUGCACCAUCCCCUCAAAAACCCGAGAGGGGAACAGAGCUGCAGAUUUCCACAGGAGGCCAAGGGAUUCCUCCGCUGCUCAUUCAGGAAGACCAUCUGCAGUGUUAAUGCCUUCCUCUUCCUGACCUUGCAAGGCUCACUGGUGUCCCAGGGACAUCAACACGACUGAAGUUGACAGCUGAGGAGGAAUCCUGUAAAUAUACCUGGAAGCAGGGACACACUUCAGCAGGGAGAGGUCUGGAUACUUCUUAGCACCAAAAUGAGACACUGUGACCCAACCAAGGUGCUCCCUGGUGAUCAACCAAGGUGCUUCCUGGUGAUCCAACCAAUGUGCUCCCUGGUGAUCCAACCAAUGUGCUCCCUGGUGAUCCAACCAAGGUGCUCCCUGGUGAUCCAACCAAUGUGCUCCCUGGUGAUCAACCAAGGUGCUUCCUGGUGAUCCAACCAAUGUGCUCCCUGGUGAUCCAACCAAUGUCCUCCCUGGUGAUCCAACCAAGGUGCUCCCUGGUGAUCCAACCAAGGUGCUUCCUGGUGAUCCAACCAAGGUGCUCCCUGGUGAUCCAACCAAGGUGCUCCCUGGUGGUCCAGAGCCGCCUUUACACUGGCUGCUCAGGAGAGCACUUCCAGUACAGUGAGGGCUUCUGAGAUUGCCACACUUUGAGUAUUUACAUCAAUGUAGGAGAUAUGUGUACUUAUUCAACAUAAAAGAAUGUAUUUGUGUUGAGAAGGGAUAUUUUCUAAAGAAUAUAUUGCAUUUCUCUAAA
RNA transcript from Mus musculus (house mouse), 9545 nucleotides. It is a transcript of the gene named ciliary rootlet coiled-coil, rootletin family member 2, with no coding region annotated. The record is from RefSeq and is marked provisional. The transcript has 31 exons. NCBI's taxonomy places the organism in Eukaryota, Metazoa, Chordata, Mammalia, Rodentia, Muridae.